GAUGAAGAACGUAGCGAAAUGCGAUACUUGGUGUGAAUUGCAGAAUCCCGUGAACCAUCGAGUCUUUGAACGCAAGUUGCGCCCGAAGCCAUUAGGCCGAGGGCACGCCUGCCUGGGCGUCACACGUCGUUGCCCCCCCAUCUACUCCUUCCGGAUUACGGGGGGCGGAUGAUGGCCUCCCGUGCGCCUCGUCGCGCGGUUGGCAUAAAUGCCAAGUCCUCGGCGACGCACGCCACGACAAUCGGUGGUUGCGAAACCUCGGUUGCCCGUCGUGUGCGGUCGUCGCGCAUCGAGGGCUCGAAAAAAUUGCCGGGCUCCGGCUCGGCUUUCAACGCGACCCCAGGUCAGGCGGGGUUACCCGCUGAAUUUAAGCAUAUCAAUAAGCGGAGGA
RNAcentral lists this unclassified non-coding RNA (391 nucleotides) under soil metagenome. RNAcentral's name for it is "partial contains 5.8S ribosomal RNA, internal transcribed spacer 2, and large subunit ribosomal RNA". The stretch from base 1 to 122 matches the Rfam family "5.8S ribosomal RNA", at positions 35 to 154 of the family's 154-position model. The record is from RNAcentral.